UUACAUAUAGGGCAGUGCAUAUUUAAGCUACUUCGUCUUCCAAACGAAAGGUCGCUGGUUCGAAUCCAGCUUCUUAAA
RNAcentral lists this transfer RNA (78 nucleotides) under Clostridium cavendishii DSM 21758. It matches the Rfam family "tRNA". Rfam says of the family: Transfer RNA (tRNA) molecules are approximately 80 nucleotides in length. Their secondary structure includes four short double-helical elements and three loops (D, anti-codon, and T loops). Lineage: Bacteria; Bacillati; Bacillota; Clostridia; Eubacteriales; Clostridiaceae. The record is from Rfam by way of RNAcentral.